CUACGGGAGGCUGCAGUGGGGGAUAUUGCACAAUGGGCGAAAGCCUGAUGCAGCAACGCCGCGUGAAGGAAGACGGUUUUCGGAUUGUAAACUUCUAUCAGCAGGGAAGAAAAUGACUGUACCUGACUAAGAAGCCCCGGCUAACUACGUGCCAGCAGCCGCGGUAAUACGUAGGGGGCAAGCGUUAUCCGGAUUUACUGGGUGUAAAGGGUACGUAGGCGGUUUAUUAAGUCAGAUGUGAAAGCCCGGGGCUCAACCCCGGGACUGCAUUAGAAACUGGUGAACUAGAGUACAGGAGAGGUAAGUGGAAUUCCUAGUGUAGCGGUGAGAUGCGUAGAUAUUAGGAAGAACACCAGUGGCGAAGGCGGCUUACUGGACUGUAACUGACGCUGAGGUACGAAAGCGUGGGGAGCGAACAGGAUUAGAUACCCUAGUAGUC
RNAcentral lists this ribosomal RNA (439 nucleotides) under uncultured bacterium. RNAcentral's name for it is "partial 16S ribosomal RNA". It matches the Rfam family "Bacterial small subunit ribosomal RNA", at positions 339 to 795 of the family's 1533-position model. The record is from RNAcentral.